AUUGAACGCUGGCGGCAUGCCUUACACAUGCAAGUCGAACGGCAGCACGGAGCUUGCUCUGGUGGCGAGUGGCGAACGGGUGAGUAAUAUAUCGGAACGUACCCUAGAGUGGGGGAUAACGUAGCGAAAGUUACGCUAAUACCGCAUACGAUCUAAGGAUGAAAGUGGGGGAUCGCAAGACCUCAUGCUCGUGGAGCGGCCGAUAUCUGAUUAGCUAGUUGGUAGGGUAAAAGCCUACCAAGGCAUCGAUCAGUAGCUGGUCUGAGAGGACGACCAGCCACACUGGAACUGAGACACGGUCCAGACUCCUACGGGAGGCAGCAGUGGGGAAUUUUGGACAAUGGGCGAAAGCCUGAUCCAGCAAUGCCGCGUGAGUGAAGAAGGCCUUCGGGUUGUAAAGCUCUUUUGUCAGGGAAGAAACGGUGAAAGCUAAUAUCUUUUGCUAAUGACGGUACCUGAAGAAUAAGCACCGGCUAACUACGUGCCAGCAGCCGCGGUAAUACGUAGGGUGCAAGCGUUAUUGGGAUUUACUGGGCGUAAAGCGUGUGCAGCGGGUUUUGUAAGUCUGAUGUGAAAUCCCCGGGCUCAACCUGGGAAUUGCAUUGGAGACUGCAAGGCUAGAAUCUGGCAGAGGGGGGUAGAAUUCCACGUGUAGCAGUGAAAUGCGUAGAUAUGUGGAGGAACACCGAUGGCGAAGGCAGCCCCCUGGGUCAAGAUUGACGCUCAUGCACGAAAGCGUGGGGAGCAAACAGGAUUAGAUACCCUGGUAGUCCACGCCCUAAACGAUGUCUACUAGUUGUCGGGUCUUAAUUGACUUGGUAACGCAGCUAACGCGUGAAGUAGACCGCCUGGGGAGUACGGUCGCAAGAUUAAAACUCAAAGGAAUUGACGGGGACCCGCACAAGCGGUGGAUGAUGUGGAUUAAUUCGAUGCAACGCGAAAAACCUUACCUACCCUUGACAUGGCUGGAAUCCUUGAGAGAUCAGGGAGUGCUCGAAAGAGAACCAGUACACAGGUGCUGCAUGGCUGUCGUCAGCUCGUGUCGUGAGAUGUUGGGUUAAGUCCCGCAACGAGCGCAACCCUUGUCAUUAGUUGCUACGAAAGGGCACUCUAAUGAGACUGCCGGUGACAAACCGGAGGAAGGUGGGGAUGACGUCAAGUCCUCAUGGCCCUUAUGGGUAGGGCUUCACACGUCAUACAAUGGUACAUACAGAGCGCCGCCAACCCGCGAGGGGGAGCUAAUCGCAGAAAGUGUAUCGUAGUCCGGAUUGUAGUCUGCAACUCGACUGCAUGAAGUUGGAAUCGCUAGUAAUCGCGGAUCAGCAUGUCGCGGUGAAUACGUUCCCGGGUCU
Molecule: ribosomal RNA, 1352 nt
Filed under: uncultured bacterium
Lineage: Bacteria
Description: bacterial SSU rRNA
Rfam family: Bacterial small subunit ribosomal RNA
Source: RNAcentral